UGUGGAAGACAAUUUUUAUUUCUGUAACCCAGUACAGGGAGAAGACCGGGAAAAUAUCACCAGAUCAACUCAAAAUUACAAAGUUU
Long non-coding RNA from Sapajus apella (tufted capuchin), 86 nucleotides. RefSeq lists it as uncharacterized. The record is from RefSeq and is a predicted model, not a curated record. The transcript has 3 exons. NCBI's taxonomy places the organism in Eukaryota, Metazoa, Chordata, Mammalia, Primates, Cebidae.